This 675-nucleotide long non-coding RNA is filed under the name Anas platyrhynchos platyrhynchos (common mallard). RNAcentral's name for it is "lncRNA (ENSAPLG00000026006.1)". The record is from RNAcentral. Lineage: Eukaryota; Metazoa; Chordata; Aves; Anseriformes; Anatidae.
AUGAAAAUGUCUUCAAAGAAACUAGGGCUUUUCUUCCUCUCUUGUCUCAGUGGAUUCCUCAAUUACUGUUGAAUGUUCACUCCCCAGAGUUGGAGUGCUUUUGUUUGUUUGUUUGUUUGUUUUUUGUUUUGUUUUGUUUUUUUGUUUGUUUGUUUGGUUGGUUUUGUUUUUUGUUUUUUCCCUGAAGCCAUGCAGCUAAUUUUCCUCUAGAUGGCGGGACUACUUUAAGCUUCAUUGUAGUAACUGAGUUAUUGCAGGCCUCUGGUCCUGCAGGUGGUAAUGCCUAUUCCAGUUCACUGGGAGAACUUUCUAUAGUAAAUUACUGGGGAAAGAGGGCAUGUUAUAUGUGGGCUUCUGACACUGUGCUGCUAUGAAACCUUCUUAAGAUGGGCCUUACUCAUAGACUGGGGUACACAAGAUGUGAUACAGCCCUUUUGUGAGGGGAAGCCUAACCUAAUUGUAUCUGACCAAAACAACAGCCAUUGUGAAUGUCUGCACCUGUUCAUGUCCAACGCUAAUUCUCUUUUCUGUUGUAAGGCUGGCAAUUCAGCAUCAUCCACUGAAGGAUCCACAAAUAAUAUCAAGUACUGGAGAGCCAAAGACUACUGCAGGUCCAGGGCAAUUCUGUUAUGUUUGAGAAGCAGACUAUCUUUGAGGAGAGCUUCAUCAACCUGA